GCUGUUGUAUAGCAGUGUUGUAUAGCAGUGUUUUUCCUUACACAGCUGUAGAGAAUACCUUAAGUACUGCAGUGUGGAUUUACUGGAAGCUGAAGUACUUAUUACAUCAUCUAAAGCAACUGAAUCAGACCAAGCCAAGGAUUUGGGAGUGCCUCGAAGCAGCUUUCUGUAAGAAAACCUACCCACCAACAACUUUUACAAGGGCAGAAGGACGAGCUGCUUGGCUGCUGUCUGUGUGCUGGAAAAGACAAGGUAUGUGACAAGCUGCUGUGUGAAUGGGGGCUGUAUCAUUCUGACAGAUAUGAUGUACAGAAGUAUGGACUGAACAUUCAGUUUUGU
Molecule: long non-coding RNA, 339 nt
Filed under: Gallus gallus (chicken)
Lineage: Eukaryota; Metazoa; Chordata; Aves; Galliformes; Phasianidae
Description: lncRNA (ENSGALG00010020772.1)
Source: RNAcentral